AGGGACGUAGUUCAAUUGGUAGAGCACCGGUCUCCAAAACCGGGCGUUGGGGGUUCGAGUCCCUUCGUCCCUGCCAAUA
RNAcentral lists this transfer RNA (79 nucleotides) under Candidatus Ishikawaella capsulata Mpkobe. RNAcentral describes it as "tRNA-Trp". It matches the Rfam family "tRNA". Rfam says of the family: Transfer RNA (tRNA) molecules are approximately 80 nucleotides in length. Their secondary structure includes four short double-helical elements and three loops (D, anti-codon, and T loops). The record is from RNAcentral. Lineage: Bacteria; Pseudomonadati; Pseudomonadota; Gammaproteobacteria; Enterobacterales; Enterobacteriaceae.